AAGAUGAUAGGAGAGGAUGUGAGGGAGGAGUAACAAAAGUGAAAACAAAAACUAAAAACUGAAAUCUAUUUAAAAUUGUUUUCACUUUUGUUACUUCUUCCUUCCAUCUUUCUCUCUCAACUUU
This 124-nucleotide microRNA precursor is filed under the name Prunus dulcis (almond). RNAcentral's name for it is "sRNA ncRNA". The record is from RNAcentral. Lineage: Eukaryota; Viridiplantae; Streptophyta; Magnoliopsida; Rosales; Rosaceae.